AUUGUCUUAAUUGUGGGAAUUAAGAUUUUACUUCAUAUAAUGAUAUAAUUUGAAUACCCCUCCGUCUCCACUGACCAAAAGACCAGGACUGGUGGGGGUUAUUCUGGUCCAAUUUGCUCCAACCCACAUACCUCCGUGGUCUCCAAAGGCUGGCACAAGUCCCAACCAAGCACAACGCCUGCAGGCCGCUCGCCACUUUAAAAUUGCGAAUGUGCAAUCCAACGACGUAUAUGUGUCUCUGGAAUACCGUUACAGCACAACCGAGCUUAUGAUCACCCGCUUGAAC
Non-coding RNA from Pelobates cultripes (western spadefoot toad), 286 nucleotides. Lineage: Eukaryota; Metazoa; Chordata; Amphibia; Anura; Pelobatidae. The record is from the annotation of a GenBank genome assembly.